CUUACUGAAACCUCCAUCUCCCAGGUUCAAGCAAUUCUCAUGCCUCAGCCACUUGAGUAGCUGGGACUACAGGAUUUCGCCAUAUUCCCCAGGCUGGUCUCGAACUCGUGAGCUCAGGUAACCCGCCUACCUUGGUCUCCCAAAGUGCUAGGAUUACAGCCCAAAUGACCCUCCAAGACCCUCUGGAGGCACCCGCAGUGCUCCUUAAUUUGCAGCUCUACAGAAUGAGACCGGCGUGGCAGCCCCCUUUCAGGACAGCUCCCGAGAUGCAAGAGGAGCCCCUAAAUCUCACCCAGCAAAGCCGUUUCUUCCUAACCGGGCUGGGGAGUGCCAUGCACUGCCAGGAGAUGGCGACAGAGGAUGAGCCUGCGGAAACCGGGUAAGGGGAGGGCGGAGCUGAGGUGAGGACCCACAUCCCUCAUGCCCAAUGGCAGCACGAGGUGGAAAUGGUUUGCCCAGUCCUCAGUUCUCCAGGACAGAGCUUGAGCCUUCUGGGAAACUGCUUUUCCCU
Molecule: long non-coding RNA, 511 nt
Filed under: Pongo abelii (Sumatran orangutan)
Lineage: Eukaryota; Metazoa; Chordata; Mammalia; Primates; Hominidae
Description: lincRNA
Source: RNAcentral